AGAGAAUUACCGGGCGAGUUUUCUGGCUGAGCGCCAUGUUGAUGAAGGCGGCAGCGACGGUGGACAAGGGGAGGCCGGCCCCGAUCGACCGGAAACCUUUCAAGAGCAGCAGAAAAAGUUUAACCCUCGAACGAAUCCCAUCAAACGUUUGAAGAAGAAUCAGAGAGAGAGAGAGAGAGAGAGAGAGAGACCUCGGAAUGUCUCCCAUGGAUACACGAGGCCGUCGUGGUUGCGGUCGAAGAACGCGACGUGCUUCUGCAGGACGCUCUGGUCGUGCGGCAUCGCGGGAUCGUACUUCUCCACAUUUCUACCUGCAAAACGAGUCCCAAACCACUCCCCAUAUUCACCAAAA
Syzygium oleosum is the source of this 352-nucleotide long non-coding RNA. RefSeq lists it as uncharacterized. Lineage: Eukaryota; Viridiplantae; Streptophyta; Magnoliopsida; Myrtales; Myrtaceae. The record is from RefSeq and is a predicted model, not a curated record. The transcript has 2 exons.